UGUAACCAGAUAUCCCCACCAUUUGUUGUCGCUGCAGUGAUCCACAGGUCACGAGGAGUUUGGAGACGAUCCCAGCUGCCGUAUGGCAAAAAAGUGCGGUAAAGUCUGGACAUGUUGCCAGUCUACUGCAGGACAAAGGUAGACCUAUAACCAUUCACACCAACAUUCAGACCUAUCACCAAUUUAGAAUCACCAGUUCUUCUAAUGGGUUUACUGAGCUUGGACUGUGGGAGGAAGCAUAAGUACCUGGAUGAAACCCACGCAAACAGAUGGCGGCAAUUGACUGAACUACAGAUAUGAAGUCUCUGAGAGCCUUCUGCUGUUUUACAUGAAAAAACCGAGGCUUUGAUGUCCCCCGCCGAAUUGCGCCGCAAUAACAACAGAAGACAUCUCAACACAUCACAGGUAAAGCAAAUGCAACAAUAUGACAACUGGGUUUCAUGCAGUGUUUGGGUAUGCUAAUGCACUAAAC
This is a long non-coding RNA of Oreochromis aureus, 472 nucleotides long. NCBI's taxonomy places the organism in Eukaryota, Metazoa, Chordata, Actinopteri, Cichliformes, Cichlidae. The record is from Ensembl.